Molecule: long non-coding RNA, 664 nt
Organism: Vombatus ursinus (common wombat)
Lineage: Eukaryota; Metazoa; Chordata; Mammalia; Diprotodontia; Vombatidae
Exons: 3
Source: RefSeq, a predicted model, not a curated record
CAGAUGCUCCAGAGGGCCCUGUUUCUGCCUUUGAGCUGCAGAAAGGUAACAAGGAGAAGGCUCCUGAGAGGGGGUGCAGCUAGCACUAAGAGAGAUACAGGGUACACCAAGGCCAGGUCACCAUUCAGAUGAGAACUUGGGACAGACACUGCAAAGGAGAAGCUUCCCACCAUGCAGUCACUCUUGGAGGUGUGAAGAAAUAGGAAAUUGAAAGAGUGGUGGGGAUUGAAGAAGAAAAGAUGGUGUGAACAUCACAUUGACUUCCUGUCUUAGUUCUUAUCUCACCUCCCUUGCAAACUCUUUGUGGGAUUCUUAACGAGUGAUGACUGCCACCCAGCUGGAAGAGUGGAGAGGUCUACACCUCCACUAUGGCCUCAGACAAUGAAAGGUGGCCAAAAAUCUCCACUCAGUACAUUGAUCUUCAAGUAACCACUAACACUCUUACCUAACAAGCAGUUCACCCUCUUUCAGCUUCUUUUUCACUCUUUCCGGGUUCAACUACAUUUACUGUAAAUCCUGAGAAGAGGUAUAAGAAGAACCACAGCGAAGAAAUUGUACUAAGUGGUAUAGUGUCAUUCAGCACCAACAAAUACUUGUUAACCAUCUCCUGUGUGCAAAGAUACCAUGCUGUUCCCUAGGGAUACAAAAAUGAAAAAUCCCACUG